This 468-nucleotide ribosomal RNA is filed under the name uncultured bacterium. RNAcentral's name for it is "partial 16S ribosomal RNA". It matches the Rfam family "Bacterial small subunit ribosomal RNA", at positions 28 to 507 of the family's 1533-position model. The record is from RNAcentral.
GACGAACGCUGGCGGCGUGCUUAACACAUGCAAGUCGAACGGAAAGGCCCUGCUUUUGUGGGGUGCUCGAGUGGCGAACGGGUGAGUAACACGUGAGUAACCUGCCCUUGACUUCGGGAUAACUUCAGGAAACUGGGGCUAAUACCGGAUAGGAGCUCCUGCUGCAUGGUGGGGGUUGGAAAGUUUCGGCGGUUGGGGAUGGACUCGCGGCUUAUCAGCUUGUUGGUGGGGUAGUGGCUUACCAAGGCUUUGACGGGUAGCCGGCCUGAGAGGGUGACCGGCCACAUUGGGACUGAGAGACGGCCCAGACUCGUACGGGAGGCAGCAGUGGGGAAUAUUGCACAAUGGGCGGAAGCCUGAUGCAGCAACGCCGCGUGCGGGAUGACGGCCUUCGGGUUGUAAACCGCUUUCGCCUGUGACGAAGCGUGAGUGACGGUAAUGGGUAAAGAAGCACCGGCUAACUACGUG